Molecule: ribosomal RNA, 253 nt
Filed under: uncultured bacterium
Lineage: Bacteria
Description: partial 16S ribosomal RNA
Rfam family: Archaeal small subunit ribosomal RNA
Source: RNAcentral
UACCAGCACCCCGAGUGGUCGGGGCGAUUAUUGGGCCUAAAGCAUCCGUAGCCGGCCUUACAAGUCCUCCGUUAAAUCCAGCUGCUUAACAGAUGGGCUGCGGAGGAUACUAUAAGACUAGGAGGCAGGAGAGGCAAGCGGUACUCAGUGGGUAGGGGUAAAAUCCGUUGAUCCAUUGAAGACCACCAGUGGCGAAGGCGGCUUGCCAGAAUGCGCUCGACGGUGAGGGAUGAAAGCUGGGGGAGCAAACCGG